RNAcentral lists this ribosomal RNA (433 nucleotides) under uncultured bacterium. Its description in RNAcentral is "partial 16S ribosomal RNA". It matches the Rfam family "Bacterial small subunit ribosomal RNA", at positions 29 to 507 of the family's 1533-position model. The record is from RNAcentral.
AACGAACGCUGGCGGCAUGCCUAACACAUGCAAGUCGAACGAGACCUUCGUGUCUAGUGGCGCACGGGUGCGUAACGCGUGGGAACCUGCCCUUAGGUUCGGAAUAACUCCCCGAAAGGGGUGCUAAUACCGGAUAAUUUCUUCGGACCAAAGAUUUAUCGCCUUUGGAUGGGCCCGCGUUGGAUUAGCUAGUUGGUAGGGUAAAAGCCUACCAAGGCGACGAUCCAUAGCUGGUCUGAGAGGAUGAUCAGCCACACUGGGACUGAGACACGGCCCAGACUCCUACGGGAGGCAGCAGUGGGGAAUAUUGGACAAUGGGCGAAAGCCUGAUCCAGCAAUGCCGCGUGAGUGAUGAAGGCCUUAGGGUUGUAAAGCUCUUUUACCCGGGAUGAUAAUGACAGUACCGGGAGAAUAAGCUCCGGCUAACUCCGUG